AUUAGGUAUGUUAGAUUAAAUUUUGUAUGGAAAUAUGGAAUAAUUAAUUCAUCUUCAUAUAAUACCUACGAAUGGAUACGUCUUCAUAUUGCUGUUCGACGUUAACGAAGCAGUUAACCAUUUUGUCACAUAUGUCAAUCACAGCCAUCGAAAUUAAAUAUCAGAAACUAACAUUAUUAUGAAACAAAUUACAGUUCGUUAAGCAAUGGAUUUCUUCACGCUUCUGAUUUAAGAACAAACAAAUUAUACACAAUGCAAUUAAAAACAAAGUGAACAAAAUGAAACAACUAGCAAUGACAAUAAUGUAGGUAGUGUAAAUGUAUUCAAAGAGCGAGUCAUUUAACUACCCUAAUCUAUAUACUGUUUUGUAUUGAUAGAUGGAAAGAAGAUAAGUGGAUUCUAGUAAUCCAAAUAUAACUACUAAAUGGUUAAAUAAUCCAUCACCAAAAUGAAUUAUAAAAUUUCACAAAGCAUUUAUACUGGUGAAACAGGAGUAUAUGUACAAUUUAAGACAAUCUAAACAAUUAAAAAUAGUACCAACAUUGAUGUAGCAGUAAAAACAUGCCAUUUGAUUGAGAAUUUGACGAACUUAAUCAUCAUACAUGAGAAUUUGAAACAUCUAAUUCGACCAAGUAAAUCACCCAAACAACAGUCAAAGCCAUAUUUUGGUAGAAAACUUAAAAGGAAUCUUUUGGCCAAAUCAUUUCAGCCCACCACAAAUAGACUUUUUCUAACAAUUCAAUAUUCGGUCUGCUCAACAGCUGAAUACCCCUGUUUGGCCAAACAGAAGUACUACAACGUCUACAACUGACAAAUUAAAAAUCGGCUUCUAGUCUACCACAUUUUAGAAUGGAAUAAUUUGGCUACAACUAUCUGGAAAUGAUUGCAAAGACCAACAGGGCCAUUACUUUGGAACACUCACAGUCACAAAUUGACCUAAGUGGCUUUACUACUUUUUUUUUUAUUAUUUAACAUUUUAUUUUCAAUCUACACAAUACAAUUAGUUCCACUACUUAAAACUGCAAUCAUGCCAAUAGUUCUUUAAUAAAUGCAGUUAUACCGGAAUUUAAUUCAUUGAUACAAUAUUUAUGACUUCAUAGCUUAAGUUAACAACAGUUUCAUUAAAAAAGUUGCACAGAAAUGAGAUUUGUCUAUCAAAAAAUGUGUUGAGGAAUCAAAUAUUGAACAACUUAUUAUUGGCUUUGGAUUUGAAAGUUGCUCCAAAUGAAUUGUGUGAACUGUGAAUAUUAAGCCUAUAGAAUUCAUAGAAACUUUAACUAAGGUUUUCAUUAUUAUUCAGUUGAAAUUUCAUAUAACAUACACAUUUAUUAGGGUUAUUAUUUUUGUUUG
Acyrthosiphon pisum (pea aphid) is the source of this 1350-nucleotide long non-coding RNA. RefSeq lists it as uncharacterized. Lineage: Eukaryota; Metazoa; Arthropoda; Insecta; Hemiptera; Aphididae. The record is from RefSeq and is a predicted model, not a curated record. The transcript has 6 exons.